CAAUAGCGUAUAUUAAAGUUGUUGCGGUUAAAAAGCUCGUAGUUGGAUUUCUGCUGAGAACGACCGGUCCGCCCUUUGGGUGUGUAUCUGGCUCUUUCUUGGCAUCUUCUUGGUGAACGUUGCUGCACUUGACUGUGUGGAGCGCUACCCAGGACUUUUACUUUGAGGAAAUUAGAGUGUUUCAAGCAGGCAUACGCCUUGAAUACAUUAGCAUGGAAUAAUAAGAUAGGACCUCGGUUCUAUUUUGUUGGUUUCUAGAGCUGAGGUAAUGAUUAAUAGGGAUAGUUGGGGGCAUUCGUAUUUAACUGUCAGAGGUGAGAUUCUUGGAUUUGUUAAAGACGGACUACUGCGAAAGCAUUUGCCAAGGAUGUUUNCAUUG
This 379-nucleotide ribosomal RNA is filed under the name uncultured eukaryote. RNAcentral's name for it is "partial 18S ribosomal RNA". It matches the Rfam family "Eukaryotic small subunit ribosomal RNA", at positions 592 to 975 of the family's 1831-position model. The record is from RNAcentral.